GACGAACGCUGGCGGCAGGCCUAACACAUGCAAGUCGAACGCCCGUAGCAAUACGGGAGUGGCAGACGGGUGAGUAACGCGUGGGAACGUGCCCUUCGGUUCGGAAUAACUCAGGGAAACUUGAGCUAAUACCGGAUACGUCCGUAAGGAGAAAGAUUUAUCGCCGAAGGAUCGGCCCGCGUCGGAUUAGCUAGUUGGUGAGGUAACGGCCCACCAAGGCGACGAUCCGUAGCUGGUCUGAGAGGANGAUCAGCCACACUGGGACUGAGACACGGCCCAGACUCCUACGGGAGGCAGCAGUGGGGAAGUAUUGGACAAUGGGCGGAAAGCCUGAUCCAGCCAUGCCGCGUGAGUGAAGAAGGCCUUAGGG
RNAcentral lists this ribosomal RNA (370 nucleotides) under uncultured bacterium. RNAcentral describes it as "bacterial SSU rRNA". It matches the Rfam family "Bacterial small subunit ribosomal RNA", at positions 28 to 422 of the family's 1533-position model. The record is from RNAcentral.